AUUGAACGCUGGCGGCAGGCCUAACACAUGCAAGUCGAACGAGUGGCGGACGGGCGAGUAAUGUCUGGGAAACUGCCUGAUGGAGGGGGAUAACUACUGGAAACGGUAGCUAAUACCGCAUACCAUCGGAUGUGCCCAGUUGGGAUUAGCUAGUGGGUGGGGUAACGGCUCACCUAGGCGACGAUCCCUAGCAGGUCUGAGAGGAUGACCAGCCACACUGGGACUGAGACACGGUCCAGACUCCUACGGGAGGCAGCAGUGGGGAAUAUUGCGCAAUGGGCGCAAGCCUGAUGCAGCCAUGCCGCGUGUAUGAAGAAGGCCUUCGGGUUGUAAAGCACUUUCAGCGGAGAGGCGUUACCCGCAGAAGAAGCACCGGCUAACUCCGUGCCAGCAGCCGCGGUAAUUC
RNAcentral lists this ribosomal RNA (406 nucleotides) under uncultured bacterium. Its description in RNAcentral is "partial 16S ribosomal RNA". It matches the Rfam family "Bacterial small subunit ribosomal RNA", at positions 30 to 526 of the family's 1533-position model. The record is from RNAcentral.